UACGUAGGGUGCAAGCGUUGUCCGGAAUUAUUGGGCGUAAAGGGCUCGUAGGCGGUCUGUUACGUCAGGAGUGAAAACUCGGGGCUCAACCCCGAGCCUGCUUCUGAUACGGGCAGACUGGAGGUAUGCAGGGGAGAACGGAAUUCCUGGUGUAGCGGUGAAAUGCGCAGAUAUCAGGAGGAACACCGGUGGCGAAGGCGGUUCUCUGGGCAUUACCUGACGCUGAGGAGCGAAAGUGUGGGGAGCAAACGGG
Molecule: ribosomal RNA, 253 nt
Filed under: uncultured bacterium
Lineage: Bacteria
Description: partial 16S ribosomal RNA
Rfam family: Bacterial small subunit ribosomal RNA
Source: RNAcentral